Molecule: small nuclear RNA, 107 nt
Organism: Suncus etruscus (white-toothed pygmy shrew)
Lineage: Eukaryota; Metazoa; Chordata; Mammalia; Eulipotyphla; Soricidae
Source: RefSeq, a predicted model, not a curated record
GUGCUUGCUUCAGCAGCACAUAUACUAAAAUUGGAACUAUACAGAGAAGAUUAACAUGGCCCCUGCAAGAGGAUAACAAGCAAAUUCGUGAAAAGUUCCAUAUUGAA